RNAcentral lists this ribosomal RNA (766 nucleotides) under uncultured bacterium. Its description in RNAcentral is "bacterial SSU rRNA". It matches the Rfam family "Bacterial small subunit ribosomal RNA", at positions 8 to 769 of the family's 1533-position model. The record is from RNAcentral.
AGAGUUUGAUCAUGGCUCAGAUUGAACGCUGGCGGCAGGCCUAACACAUGCAAGUCGAGCGGUAGAGAGAAGCUUGCUUCUCUUGAGAGCGGCGGACGGGUGAGUAAUGCCUAGGAAUCUGCCUGGUAGUGGGGGAUAACGUUCGGAAACGGACGCUAAUACCGCAUACGUCCUACGGGAGAAAGCAGGGGACCUUCGGGCCAUGCGCUAUCAGAUGAGCCUAGGUCGGAUUAGCUAGUUGGUGAGGUAAUGGCUCACCAAGGCGACGAUCCGUAACUGGUCUGAGAGGAUGAUCAGUCACACUGGAACUGAGACACGGUCCAGACUCCUACGGGAGGCAGCAGUGGGGAAUAUUGGACAAUGGGCGAAAGCCUGAUCCAGCCAUGCCGCGUGUGUGAAGAAGGUCUUCGGAUUGUAAAGCACUUUAAGUUGGGAGGAAGGGUUGUAGAUUAAUACUCUGCAAUUUUGACGUUACCGACAGAAUAAGCACCGGCUAACUCUGUGCCAGCAGCCGCGGUAAUACAGAGGGUGCAAGCGUUAAUCGGAAUUACUGGGCGUAAAGCGCGCGUAGGUGGUUUGUUAAGUUGGAUGUGAAAUCCCCGGGCUCAACCUGGGAACUGCAUUCAAAACUGACUGACUAGAGUAUGGUAGAGGGUGGUGGAAUUUCCUGUGUAGCGGUGAAAUGCGUAGAUAUAGGAAGGAACACCAGUGGCGAAGGCGACCACCUGGACUAAUACUGACACUGAGGUGCGAAAGCGUGGGGAGC